RNAcentral lists this ribosomal RNA (253 nucleotides) under uncultured bacterium. RNAcentral's name for it is "partial 16S ribosomal RNA". It matches the Rfam family "Bacterial small subunit ribosomal RNA", at positions 524 to 776 of the family's 1533-position model. The record is from RNAcentral.
UACGUAGGGUGCGAGCGUUAAUCGGAAUUACUGGGCGUAAAGCGUGCGCAGGCGGUGAUGUAAGACAGUUGUGAAAUCCCCGGGCUCAACCCGGGAACUGCGUCCGAUACUGGAAGGCUUGAAUCCGGGAGAGGGAUGCGGAAUUCCAGGUGUAGCGGUGAAAUGCGUAGAUAUCUGGAGGAACACCGGUGGCGAAGGCGGCAUCCUGGACCGGCAUUGACGCUGAGGCGCGAAAGCCAGGGGAGCAAACGGG